This 2169-nucleotide ribosomal RNA is filed under the name Triticum aestivum (bread wheat). Its description in RNAcentral is "partial small subunit ribosomal RNA". Lineage: Eukaryota; Viridiplantae; Streptophyta; Magnoliopsida; Poales; Poaceae. The record is from RNAcentral.
AUGACGGAUGACGGCCAAAGCAGCCAACUUGCUGCUCUGGAGAAAGUGUUGCUCGAUGAAACCGCGGAUCCAGUUGAUCUGCCUUUCUCGCUGCUCAGCUCCAUCACAGGAAACUUCUCUGAAGAUAAUGAAAUCGGCAGGGGUGGGUUCGGAGCGGUUUACAAGGGAGUGCUUCCAAGUGGUCGCACUGUCGCCGUGAAGCGGCUCUUCGAGAGGUACGAGAUCCUGGACAAGAAUUUCGAGAGCGAGGUCACCUGUCUCGCGGUGGUCAGGCACAAGAAUACCGUGCGAUUUCUCGGGUACUCCUCUGAAACGCAGCAAGUACUGAUGCCAUAUGACGGGAAGCAUGUCUUGGCAGAUGUGCGGCAUAGGCUGCUCUGCUUCGAGUACAUGCCCAAAGGGUGCCUUCCUGACUAUCCCUCCGAUGCAUCUUGUCAACUUCAAUGGACCACAUGUUACCAAAUAAUCAAGGGCAUCUGUGAGGGCGUACAUUAUCUUCAUCAGCAACGUAUUAUUCACAUGGACCUCAAACCUCAGAAUGUACUAUUGGAUGAUAACAUGGUGCCCAGAAUAGCGGAUUUCGGUCUAUCACACCGCUUAAGUGGGAGCCGGAGUCGGGCUAUUACUGAAAACAAGCUUGGGACGAUGGGAUAUAUGGCACCAGAAUUCUUAAAUAAUGGAGAAAUUACCUGCAUGGCAGACAUAUAUAGUUUGGGUGUUAUAAUCAUGGAGAUCCUUAUGAGACAUAAGGAAUGCUCUAAUGUUGAGGAGCAGGUAGUUGAAAGUUGGGCAAACAAGUUCGGGGUAUCAGAGAGCCAGACAACAUUGGAACAAGUAAAAGUAGGUGCUGAGAUAGGGAUAAAAUGCAUGAACUAUGACCCAAGGAAUAGGCCUGCUACAUGGUUUAUCAUUCGUGGAAUACUGGGUGAAGCGGAAAUUUCAAACUGGUCUAUUACAAGUGAUGUAGCUACCUCGACAGAAGGGCAGAUAGGCUUUGCCUCCAAGUUGGUGGAUGAAUUGAAGUUCAUGGAUGAUUCCGCUGCAGCAUCCGAACUGCAGCCAUCAGUGCUGGAGGUAGAGCAGGAGGAUGGCAAAGUGAGCCUAGAGAGUAAGGGGAAGGCAACAGCAGUGACUGUGGCGACUGGGGUGAGCACCCUCAGUGCCAAGCUUGCCAAGCUCAUGGGUGACGAGUACAUUAAGCGCAAAGAGGUGAGGAAGCAGGCGUCCUUCCUCAAGGAGUUGAGCACCAUAAACGCUGUCCUUGAGCAGCUGGAGCUCAUGAUUGAGCUCGCUCCAGCAGUAAAAAAUUGGAGGGAUGAUGUCAGGGAGAUCUCCUAUGACAUGGAGAAUUGCAUUGAUGACUUCAUGCGCCAAUUUGGAGGUGAGGAUGCUGAAGCAAGCUUCACCAGGGAGGCUGCUGAACUUCACAAGAGGUUGUGCGAGCUUCAUAGGAUUGCCAACCAGAUGGAAGAGCUCAGGACUCUUGUGGUAGAAGCAAAUGCUCGACGUGAGAGCUACAAGAUUGAUGAUUGCAAGCCUAGCUUUGUGGGUGUCGACCCUCGGCUGUCAGCAGUCUACCAGGAGGCAACUAGUCUUGUGGGCAUUGACGGCCCAAGGGAGGAGGUUGCCAAUUGGUUGAUGGAUACUCAGAAAAAACUCAAGGUUGUGUCUGUUGUUGGUUUUGGAGGUCUGGGUAAAACUACACUUUCCAAACAGGUAUAUGAUAAGAUCAGGGGGCAUUUCAAGAGUGUGGCAUUCAUUUCAGUUUCACAGAAGCCUGAUAUGAGAGUGCUUCUCAGUCGCCUACAAUUGAAACUUGGGAUAAGUGUGUCUUCUCAUGAUUGCGGGUUUGAAGACAUCAUUGAAGAGCUAAUGAAGUAUCUCGCAGAUAAAAGGUACCUUAUUGUACUUGAUGACUUGUGGGAUCAAUCAGCAUGGAAUACUAUUAGUCUUGCUUUUCCAGAAAAUGGAAAUGGGAGUAGAAUAAUAGUAACGACACGAGUGGAAGAUGUGGCUAGUGUGGCCUGUCACAAUGACCGUAAGUGCAUUUACACAAUGAAGCCCCUCAAUGAACAGAAUUCAAGAAUGUUAUUCUCGAACAGAGUAUUUGGGUCUGAAGUUGUUUGUCCACUGUUGAGAUUCGCCGAAUUAUCACUUGCGCCUCCGUAA